Molecule: ribosomal RNA, 1366 nt
Filed under: metagenome
Description: bacterial LSU rRNA
Rfam family: Bacterial large subunit ribosomal RNA
Source: RNAcentral
UGCACUCACAAACUCGGCGAUCCUCAGCUCCCAAGAAAAGCUCCGGUAGAGUUAACCGCUGACGCGACCGUACCGCAAACCGACACAGGUGGGCGGGGAGAAGAUCCCAAGGCGCUUGAGAGAACCCUGCUUAAGGAACUCGCAAAAUGACACCGUAACUUCGGGAGAAGGUGUGCCCUCAUUACGUGAAGCCCGAACGGGUGGAGCGGACGGGGGUUGCAGAGAAUCGGGGGUAGCGACUGUUUACCAAAAACACAGCACUCUGCGAAGUCGCAAGACGACGUAUAGGGUGUGAUGCCUGCCCGGUGCUGGAAGGUUAAAGAGAGGACUCAGCGCAAGCAAAGGUCCGAACUGAAGCCCCAGUAAACGGCGGCCGUAACAAUAACGGUCCUAAGGUAGCGAAAUUCCUUGUCGGGUAAGUUCCGACCUGCACGAAUGGCAUAACGACUUCCCCACCGUCUCGAGCAGGGACUCAGCGAAGUAGCACUAGGGGUGAAGAUACCCUUUACACGGCAGGACGGAAAGACCCCGUGAACCUUCACUACAGCUUGACAUUGUUCGACGAAAGGAUUUGCGUAGGAUAGGUGGGAGGCUAUGAAGCUUGGAUUCCGGUCUGAGCAGAGCCAACGUUGAAAUACCACCCUGAUCAUUUUGGCGAACUAACCUACACCCGUGAGCCGGGUGGGGGACACUGUCUGGUGGGUAGUUUGACUGGGGCGGUCGCCUCCCAAAAAGUAACGGAGGCGCGCGAAGUUCCCCUCAGCCUGAUUGGAAACCAGGCGUCGAGUGUAAACACAUAAGGGGGAUUGACUGCGAGUCCGACGAGACGAGCAGGUACGAAAGUAGGUGUUAGUGAUCCGGUGGCUCCACAUGGAAGGGCCAUCGCUCAACGGAUAAAAGGUACUCCGGGGAUAACAGGCUUAUCACGUCCAAGAGUUCACAUCGACGACGUGGUUUGGCACCUCGAUGUCGGCUCAUCGCAUCCUGGGGCUGAAAUCGGUCCCAAGGGUUUAGCUGUUCGCUAAUUAAAGCGGUACGCGAGCUGGGUUCAGAACGUCGUGAGACAGUACGGUCCCUAUCCGCCGUGGGCGCAGGACGCUUGAGAGGAGCUGACUUUAGUACGAGAGGACCGAGUUGGACGAACCUAUGGUGUUCCGGUUGUCGCGCCAGCGGCAUCGCCGGGUAGCUAUGUUCGGACGGGAUAACCGCUGAAAGCAUCUAAGCGGGAAGCCCCCCUCGAGAUAAGGCGUCCCGAGCCGUAAGGCUCCUGAAGACCCCACGUAGACUACGUGGUUGAUAGGCUGGAUGUGGAAGUGCAGCAAUGCAUGGAGCUAACCAGUACUAAUCGGUCGUGCGGCUUGACCAC